AAAGGGAGAUUAAUACCGCAUAACAUAAGAGAAUCGCAUGAUUUUCUUAUCAAAGAUUUAUUGCUUUGAGAUGGACCCGCGGCGCAUUAGCUAGUUGGUAAGGUAACGGCUUACCAAGGCAACGAUGCGUAGCCGACCUGAGAGGGUGAUCGGCCACAUUGGAACUGAGACACGGUCCAGACUCCUACGGGAGGCAGCAGUGGGGAAUAUUGCGCAAUGGGGGAAACCCUGACGCAGCAACGCCGCGUGGGUGAUGAAGGUCUUCGGAUUGUAAAGCCCUGUUUUCUGGGACGAUAAUGACGGUACCAGAGGAGGAAGCCACGGCUAACUACGUGCCAGCAGCCGCGGUAAUACGUAGGUGGCGAGCGUUGUCCGGACUUACUGGGCGUAAAGGGUGCGUAGGCGGAUGUUUAAGUGGGAUGUGAAAUCCCCGGGCUUAACCUGGGGGCUGCAUUCCAAACUGGAUAUCUAGAGUGCAGGAGAGGAAAGCGGAAUUCCUAGUGUAGCGGUGAAAUGCGUAGAGAUUAGGAAGAACACCAGUGGCGAAGGCGGCUUUCUGGACUGUAACUGACGCUGAGGCACGAAAGCGUGGGUAGCAAACAGGAUUAGAUACCCUGGCAGUCCACGCCGUAAACGAUGGAUACCAGGUGUAGGGGGUAUCAACUCCCCCUGUGCCGCAGUUAACACAAUAAGUAUUCCGCCUGGGGAGUACGGUCGCAAGAUUAAAACUCAAAGGAAUUGACGGGGGCCCGCACAAGCAGCGGAGCAUGUGGUUUAAUUCGAAGCAACGCGAAGAACCUUACCUGGGCUUGACAUCCCCUA
Molecule: ribosomal RNA, 822 nt
Filed under: uncultured Clostridium sp.
Lineage: Bacteria; Bacillati; Bacillota; Clostridia; Eubacteriales; Clostridiaceae
Description: bacterial SSU rRNA
Rfam family: Bacterial small subunit ribosomal RNA
Source: RNAcentral